This 497-nucleotide ribosomal RNA is filed under the name uncultured bacterium. RNAcentral describes it as "partial 16S ribosomal RNA". It matches the Rfam family "Bacterial small subunit ribosomal RNA", at positions 28 to 507 of the family's 1533-position model. The record is from RNAcentral.
GAUGAACGCUGGCGGCGUGCCUAAUACAUGCAAGUCGAGCGGACGGACGAGACGCUUGCUUCUCGGAUGUUAGCGGAGGACGGGUGAGUAACACGUGUAUAACCUACCUAUAAUACUGGGAUAACUACGGGAAACCGGAGCUAAUACCGGAGAAUAUUUUGCACCGCAUGGUUCAAAAGUGAAAGACGGUCUUGCUGUCACUUAUAGAUGGAUCCGCGCUGCAUUAGCUAGUUGGUAAGGUAACGGGUUACCAAGGCAACGAUGCAUAGCCGACCUGAUAGGGUGAUAGGCCACACUGGAGGUGAGACGGGGUCCAGACGCCUACGAGAGGCAGCAGACGCGUAUCUGACGCAAUGGGCGAGAGCAUGACGCAGCAACGCCGCGUGAGUGAUGACGGUCUUCGGAGCGUGAUACUGUGUUUUUAGUGAAGAACAUAUGUGUCAGUAGAUGUGCACAUCUUGACGGUAACUAAUCAGAAAGCCACGGCUAACUACGUG